GAAUUGACGGGGGCCCGCACAAGCGGUGGAGCAUGUGGUUUAAUUCGACGCAACGCGAAGAACCUUACCUGGGCUCGAACGGCUGCAGACCGUGGUAGAAAUACCAUUUUCCCGCAAGGGACUGUAGUCGAGGUGCUGCAUGGCUGUCGUCAGCUCGUGUCGUGAGAUGUUGGGUUAAGUCCCGCAACGAGCGCAACCCUUGUCCUGUGUUGCCAUCAUUUAGUUGGGCACUCUCAGGAGACCGCCAGCGAUAAGUUGGAGGAAGGUGGGGAUGACGUCAAGUCAUCAUGGCCUUUGUGUCCAGGGCUACACACGUGCUACAAUGGACGGUACAACACGUUGCAAACCCGCGAGGGGGAGCCAAUCGUAAAAAACCGUUCUCAGUUCGGAUUGCAGGCUGCAACUCGCCUGCAUGAAGCUGGAAUCGCUAGUAAUGGCAUAUCAGAAUGAUGCCGUGAAUACGUUCCCGGGCCUUGUACACACCGCCAU
Molecule: ribosomal RNA, 489 nt
Filed under: uncultured bacterium
Lineage: Bacteria
Description: bacterial SSU rRNA
Rfam family: Bacterial small subunit ribosomal RNA
Source: RNAcentral